GCCUGGCUGGCUGAGUCGGUAGAGCAUGUGACUCUUGAUCUCAAGGUCAUGAGUUUGAGCCCCACGCUGGGUG
This 73-nucleotide transfer RNA is filed under the name Felis catus (domestic cat). It matches the Rfam family "tRNA". Rfam says of the family: Transfer RNA (tRNA) molecules are approximately 80 nucleotides in length. Their secondary structure includes four short double-helical elements and three loops (D, anti-codon, and T loops). Lineage: Eukaryota; Metazoa; Chordata; Mammalia; Carnivora; Felidae. The record is from Rfam by way of RNAcentral.